AUGUCUGGAAGGCUGUGGCCCAAGGCCUUUUCUGCUGGCUAAAAGCAGGGUCUCCAGAACCAAAGGAAACACACAGCUCUUGUUAAAAUUGAAGAUGUUGACGCAUGAGGUGAAACAGAAUUCUCUUUGGGCAAGAGAUGUGCUUAUGUACAUAAAACAAAGAACAACACAGAGACUCCUGGCGGCAAACUAAACAAAGCCAGAGUAAUCUGGGCCCAUGGAAACAGUGGCAUGGUUCGUGCCAAAUUUCAAAGCAAUCUUCCUGCUGAGACCAUUGGACACAAAAUCUGAGUGAUGCUGUACCCCUCAAGGAUUUAA
Molecule: long non-coding RNA, 318 nt
Filed under: Homo sapiens (human)
Lineage: Eukaryota; Metazoa; Chordata; Mammalia; Primates; Hominidae
Description: non-protein coding lnc-ZNF366-13:1
Source: RNAcentral